Molecule: RNase P RNA, 382 nt
Filed under: Sphingobacterium deserti
Lineage: Bacteria; Pseudomonadati; Bacteroidota; Sphingobacteriia; Sphingobacteriales; Sphingobacteriaceae
Description: Bacterial RNase P class A
Rfam family: Bacterial RNase P class A
About the family: Ribonuclease P (RNase P) is a ubiquitous endoribonuclease, found in archaea, bacteria and eukarya as well as chloroplasts and mitochondria. Its best characterised activity is the generation of mature 5'-ends of tRNAs by cleaving the 5'-leader elements of precursor-tRNAs. Cellular RNase Ps are ribonucleoproteins.
Source: Rfam by way of RNAcentral
AAGCAAACUGGUUCUAUCGCUGUCCUUGUAUUAUAGGAAAGAGGAAAGUCCGGGCAACAUAGAGCAACACGCUUCCUAACGGGAAGGCUCUUAAACUUUGAGAGACAGAAAGUGCCACAGAAAAUAUACCGCUACAGUUUUCUGUAGUAAGGGUGAAAACGUGAGGUAAGAGCUCACGGUAUUGUAUGGCGACAUGCAUUACGGUAAACCUCGUGUGUUGAAAAACCAAAUAGGUUGCGAAGGUGAGGGCUGCUCGUCUUCUAUCGUCUCGACGGUAUUCGCAAUGGGUAGGUUGAUGGAGCUUACAUGUGAAUGUAAGUCUAGAUAAAUGAUAGAAAUCCUGCAAAGGAUACAGAACCCGGCUUACAAGGUUUGCUUCUUU